RNAcentral lists this ribosomal RNA (257 nucleotides) under uncultured bacterium. RNAcentral describes it as "partial 16S ribosomal RNA". It matches the Rfam family "Bacterial small subunit ribosomal RNA", at positions 495 to 747 of the family's 1533-position model. The record is from RNAcentral.
AUAUCGCGAGGUGUCAGCAGCCGCGGUAAUACGAAGGGGGCUAGCGUUGUUCGGAAUUUACUGGGCGUAAAGCGACACGUAGGCGGGUAUUUAAGUCAGGGGUGGAAAUCCCCAGAGCUCAACUCUGGAACUGCCUUUGAUACUGGGUACCUAGAGUAUGGAAGAGGUGAGUGGAAUUCCGAGUGUAGAGGUGAAAUUCGUAGAUAUUCGGAGGAACACCAGUGGCGAAGGCGGCUCACUGGUCCAUUACUGACGCU